AUGAUCAGCUUCGUCAUGAUCUGCUGCAACGACGUUUAGCUUCCGCUCAAUUAUUUCUAUUAUUUGAGAACUCUACAAACCUUGCUUGAAUUUCGAACUUGAGAUUGUAAUAAUUUGAUGCACUUGUUUAAUUGGGAUGGUGUGUUGUAAUCUUUGUAACCACACGCCUUCGUGCGAGUCUUGCUUUCUCGAUCCUGAGUUAAGUUGUUUAUUGGAUGAAAUUUGACGGACGACCAAGUUGACUUGUUUAAAGUUCAUGAUCGCGCGUUAAGUGACUUAAGUGUGCUUUAUCCAUAUUAAUUCGGGCAGUUCCUCACCUCCUCCUAGCCCCCAUCCUAAAUCCUCACCUCCUCCUAGCCUCCAUCCCAAAUCUUCACCUCAUCCUCACUGCCAUCCAAAAUCUUCACCUGCUCGUCACCAUCCACAAUCUUCCUCUCAUCGUUGCCGCCCAUUUCCCAUCUCCCUCCGUAGGACCAGCGGUGAUGCAAUGGCACCAGGCGGGAAGGUUGUAUGAAGGGAACAUCAACAACCAGGUACAAUAUUUUCCUCCC
RNAcentral lists this long non-coding RNA (551 nucleotides) under Setaria viridis. Its description in RNAcentral is "long non-coding RNA (SVIR_LNC004639)". The record is from RNAcentral. Lineage: Eukaryota; Viridiplantae; Streptophyta; Magnoliopsida; Poales; Poaceae.